RNAcentral lists this ribosomal RNA (432 nucleotides) under uncultured bacterium. Its description in RNAcentral is "partial 16S ribosomal RNA". It matches the Rfam family "Bacterial small subunit ribosomal RNA", at positions 29 to 506 of the family's 1533-position model. The record is from RNAcentral.
AACGAACGCUGGCGGCAGGCCUAACACAUGCAAGUCGAGCGCGCCCUUCGGGGUGAGCGGCGGACGGGUGAGUAACGCGUGGGAACGUGCCCUUUUCUACGGAAUAGCCUCGGGAAACUGAGAGUAAUACCGUAUACGCCCUUUGGGGGAAAGAUUUAUCGGAAAAGGAUCGGCCCGCGUUGGAUUAGGUAGUUGGUGGGGUAAUGGCCUACCAAGCCGACGAUCCAUAGCUGGUUUGAGAGGAUGGUCAGCCACACUGGGACUGAGACACGGCCCAGACUCCGACGGGAGGCAGCAGUGGGGAAUCUUAGACAAUGGGGGCAACCCUGAUCUAGCCAUGCCGCGUGAGUGAUGAAGGCCUUAGGGUUGUAAAGCUCUUUCAGCUGGGAAGAUAAUGACGGUACCAGCAGAAGAAGCCCCGGCUAACUCCGU